UGAUCCUUUCUCAGAACGAACGCUGGCGGCAGGCUUAACACAUGCAAGUCGAGCGCCCCGCAAGGGGAGCGGCAGACGGGUGAGUAACGCGUGGGAAUCUACCCAUCUCUACGGAACAACUCCGGGAAACUGGAGCUAAUACCGUAUACGUCCUUAUGGAGAAAGAUUUAUCGGAGAUGGAUGAGCCCGCGUUGGAUUAGCUAGUUGGUGGGGUAAUGGCCUACCAAGGCGACGAUCCAUAGCUGGUCUGAGAGGAUGAUCAGCCACACUGGGACUGAGACACGGCCCACACUCCUACGGGAGGCAGCAGUGGGGAAUAUUGGACAAUGGGCGCAAGCCUGAUCCAGCCAUGCCGCGUGAGUGAUGAAGGCCCUAGGGUUGUAAAGCUCUUUCAACGGUGAAGAUAAUGACGGUAACCGUAGAAGAAGCCCCGGCUAACUUCGUGCCAGCAGCCGCGGUAAUACGAAGGGGGCUAGCGUUGUUCGGAAUUACUGGGCGUAAAGCGCACGUAGGCGGAUACUUAAGUCAGGGGUGAAAUCCCGGGGCUCAACCCCGGAACUGCCUUUGAUACUGGGUAUCUGGAGUCCGGAAGAGGUGAGUGGAAUUCCGAGUGUAGAGCUGAAAUUCGUAGAUAUUCGGAGGAACACCAGUGGCGAAGGCGGCUCACUGGUCCGGUACUGACGCUGAGGUGCGAAAGCGUGGGGAGCAAACAGGAUUGGAUACCCCUGGUAGUC
RNAcentral lists this ribosomal RNA (734 nucleotides) under uncultured bacterium. Its description in RNAcentral is "bacterial SSU rRNA". It matches the Rfam family "Bacterial small subunit ribosomal RNA", at positions 14 to 795 of the family's 1533-position model. The record is from RNAcentral.